CCUCGGGAGGCAGCAGUGGGGAAUAUUGGGCAAUGGAGGAAACUCUGACCCAGCGACGCCGCGUGCGGGAUGAAGGCCUUCGGGUUGUAAACCGCUUUCAGUAGGGAAGAAGCGAAAGUGACGGUACCUACAAAAGAAGCACCGGCUAACUAUGUGCCAGCAGCCGCGGUAAUACAUAGGGUGCAAGCGUUGUCCGGAAUUAUUGGGCGUAAAGAGCUCGUAGGUCGUUUGUUACGUCGGAUGUGAAAACCUGAGGCUCAACCUCAGGCCUGCAUUCGAUACGGGCAAACUAGAGUUUGGUAGGGGAGACUGGAAUUCCUGGUGUAGCGGUGGAAUGCGCAGAUAUCAGGAGGAACACCAAUGGCGAAGGCAGGUCUCUGGGCCAAUACUGACACUGAGGAGCGAAAGUCUGGGGAGCGAACAGGAUUAGAUACCCUGGUAGUCCAGACCGUAAACGGUGGGCACUAGUUGUGGGAACCUUCCACGGUUUCUGCGACGCAGCUAACGCAUUAAGUGCCCCGCCUGGGGAGUACGAUCGCAAGAUUAAAACUCAAAAGGAAUUGACGG
Molecule: ribosomal RNA, 567 nt
Filed under: uncultured bacterium
Lineage: Bacteria
Description: bacterial SSU rRNA
Rfam family: Bacterial small subunit ribosomal RNA
Source: RNAcentral